RNAcentral lists this ribosomal RNA (440 nucleotides) under uncultured bacterium. RNAcentral describes it as "partial 16S ribosomal RNA". It matches the Rfam family "Bacterial small subunit ribosomal RNA", at positions 338 to 795 of the family's 1533-position model. The record is from RNAcentral.
CCUACGGGUGGCAGCAGUGGGGAAUAUUGCACAAUGGGGGAAACGCUGAAGCAGCGACGCCGCGUGAGUGAAGAAGUACCUCGGUACGUAAAGCUCUAUUAGCAGGGAAGAAAAUGAGGGUACUUGACUAAGAAGCCACGGCUAACGACGUGACAGCAGCCGCGUUAAUAGGCAGGGGGCAAGCGUAAUCCGGAUUUGCGGGGUGUAAAGGGAGGUUAGACGGGAGCACAGGUCGGGAGUGAAAUCCCGGGCCUUAACGCCGGAACUGCUAUUGAGACUGUGCGGCUGGAGUGCAGGAGGGGUAGGCGGAAUGACUAGUGUAGCGGUGAAAUGCGUAGAUAUUAGGAAGAACACCGAUGGCGAAGGCAGCUUACUAGUCUGUGACUGACGUUGAGGCUCGAAAGCGUGGGGAGCAAACAGGAUUAGAUACCCUUGUAGUC